GAUGAACGCUGGCGGCGUGCCUAAUACAUGCAAGUCGAGCGAACGGACAAGAAGCUUGCUUCUCUGAUGUUAGCGGCGGACGGGUGAGUAACACGUGGAUAACCUACCUAUAAGACUGGGAUAACUUCGGGAAACCGGAGCUAAUACCGGCUAAUAUUUUGAACCGCAUGGUUCAAAAGUGAAAGACGGUCUUGCUGUCACUUAUAGAUGGAUCCGCGCUGCAUUAGCUAGUUGGUAAGGUAACGGCUUACCAAGGCAACGAUGCAUAGCCGACCUGAGAGGGUGAUCGGCCACACUGGAACUGAGACACGGUCCAGACUCCUACGGGAGGCAGCAGUAGGGAAUCUUCCGCAAUGGGCGAAAGCCUGACGGAGCAACGCCGCGUGAGUGAUGAAGGUCUUCGGAUCGUAAAACUCUGUUAUUAGGGAAGAACAUAUGUGUAAGUAACUGUGCACGUCUUGACGGUACCUAAUCAGAAAGCCACGGCUAACUACGUG
Molecule: ribosomal RNA, 497 nt
Filed under: uncultured bacterium
Lineage: Bacteria
Description: partial 16S ribosomal RNA
Rfam family: Bacterial small subunit ribosomal RNA
Source: RNAcentral